This 592-nucleotide long non-coding RNA is filed under the name Marmota monax (woodchuck). The record is from RNAcentral. Lineage: Eukaryota; Metazoa; Chordata; Mammalia; Rodentia; Sciuridae.
GCGCAUGCACCAUGAUUGAGUACUAUAAUACAUACAUUCCUUUUUUUAAAUUUUUUUUCAGUUGUAGUUGGACACAUGCCUUUAUUUUACUAAUUUUUAUGAGGACCAAACUCAGUACCUCGCACGUGCUAGACAAGCGCUCUACCACUGAGCCAAAACCCCAGCCCCCGCUUUUUAUAUUUCUAUGUCAGAGGACCCUCAUAGCAAGUUAUGAAAUAUGUAACACACCCUUAUCUGUUCUCAUUUAUAACUACCACAGCUCUUUCAUAUGCAGAUAUUCACUGUACUCGUGUGUAUUCAUGUGUCAGUGUUCAGGGAUUUAGGACAGCUUUUUUUACUCCCUAUUUUUUUCCAACUCAAUCAGUAUUAUUAAGUUGAGAUUUUGCCCCAAAUCCCAGUUUAUAUCUAUGGUGAGCACUGUGGAUCUCUUUACCCAUGUUCUGUUGGCCAAGAGUCCCUGUGGCCAUUCAGUUAUUCCGCCCGGGGUCCAGACCUGAGUCUCUGACCUUUCAUGAGCAUUGAAAAGAAGUCCUUUCCCAAGCCAGGCUAUUGGCAUUAGAGAACAGGUGCCACAGAAUAGAGCAGAUUGUCA